Molecule: long non-coding RNA, 7537 nt
Filed under: Eucalyptus grandis
Lineage: Eukaryota; Viridiplantae; Streptophyta; Magnoliopsida; Myrtales; Myrtaceae
Description: long non-coding RNA (EGRA_LNC002180)
Source: RNAcentral
CUGAUUUGGAGAGUCGGAUAAUUUAGGUUGCUCGAGACGAUCCGCUUUUUUGGGUCCUUGAUGCCGAAGCUACAAAGAUAUGCAGCGUAGUCUGAGUACGAUGCAUCGUACACAAGGCCGGGGUCGGCCACUCUCUGCGGCAUCAGGUGGCCGGCUCCCAAUGCGAAGGGAGUGGCGAGAGUGCCUGCUGCAUCGGUUAUGGGCCUGCCCCUGUUGUCCAAUUGAAAAGCUGCAAUAUGAGAGACAUUAAAGGGUUAGGCAAUACUAAUUUUCGUCAUCGCGAGGUCAGUUGAAGGCAAUGCUCGACAUGAUCAGACAUGAAUGAGACACAAUCCCCAACAUGAAUGUUAGAAAAAGAACUUAAUGGUGACACAACACGGUUCAACAACCUUAAUCUGUAUACUCUUUAUCAACAUGAAUCAACACAUUUUCAUCCUUGGUGAAUCUUUUGAUGGUCAGCAUUUGUAAACACGGUAAGAGCAGAUUGAGUCACGAACUGUCAGCCCUGAUUGUACCUUAAAAAUGAGAUCUUGAGAUGUUUUACCUGUAGUCAUAAGGGCAGAUCUGAUAGCUGCACUGCUCCAUUUUGGAUGAAUGGCUUUGAGGAGAGCGGCCGUGGCGGCCACAUGAGGGCACGACAUCGAAGUCCCCGAGUCAAAGUUGUACUUCACGAUUCGAGGAUCGCUUUCCAACUUCGUUGGCGAAUCUGCCUCACUCCACGCUGCCAAUAUAUUCACUCCCGGGGCUGAGAUGUCAGGCUGAGCAGAAGAAAAAAAAUUGGUAAUGCAAUAAGUUAGCAAUGUCAUCGUGAUUUUUCACAGUAUUCUUCCUCGUCGUGAAAGAGGGAAAACAAUGCUGGGAAACUAUACCUUGAGAAUAUCGGGGUCGAUGACAUUCGGACCUCGACUCGUUAAUGCAGCUAUGGCGGGAGCGGGCUUAGUGUACAGGACGGUUCUUGCUGGUACUAUUCUCGCCGUCGGACUCUUGGUAGAUCGGAUGUAGUCAUAAAUCCGAGUGGCGUCGUAAUGAGUCACGGCAGUCGCUGGAAGAACGUGGGCGUCACAUGUCAGGUCAGCUCCGUCGGCUGGGCUGUUACCCAAUAUGAAUCCGGCACCGCCAGCUCUCCUCACUUCCAUGCCUUUGCCGACUCUCGGCCCGUUCCCACUAAUGCACAGCACUAUCUUCCCCCUCACCUUCUUUGGAUUGAGGGAAUUUGGAAGGCAUUGACUGCAAAGAAUACCCAUAUUAGCAAGAUUAAUUAGCAACUAAUCCAAAUUUUAGGUAAAAACAAUCAGAAUUUUUCUAAAAAUGAACGAUUAAUCACCCUGAGUCCUCCUUGGAUACGUUUGGGGCUACUGCAUCUCCAGCAUAAAUUAGUGGAUACAUCUUGUUGGAGUGAUAUGGAGUGACUGUUUGUCCCUGUGCAAAUGAGUUUUUAGCAUAUGUUGAGCAGCAUUUGGAAAUAUUAUCAGUGUAUAGAUUGAGAGAUUGGAGUAUUUAAUAGUUGUGCUACAUAUACAGAACUAUCAAACAUAUAAGUGAUUUAAUUUUCACCUCGAUCGACAUCCCGUUUCCUAACUCUACCGGUGCGACAAAAGUUCGGUCGAUGGUGCUGGCACCGACGGUGAUGAUCCAUGGAGCAGGGUUUGAUAGGGUCCCCGGAGCAGGCCCGUUGUUUCCUGCGGAGCACACCACAACAAUGUUGCUUUUGGCCGCAUAAAAUGCCCCUAGGGCUAUGUUGUCCUGGUGGUAUGGCAAGGGCCGCCUGGUGCCAAUUGAGAUGCUCAUUACGUCGAUGCCGUCGCCAAUGGCGUCGUCCAUGGCAGCCAACAUGUCCUCCUCAAAGCACUUGUUACCAUCGACUUUGGAUACGUUAGGGAUCGCCCAACACGCUUUGUAGAUGGCCAGGUGGACAAGCGCUGCGCCACCAGAUGCGGUGCCGUGGGCGAAGCCGCCAAGGGCAGAGACGUUAGCCACCCUCCGGCCUCCAACGGUGGAUGCCGUGUGAGUCCCAUGGCCAUCUCUAUCGUGUGGUGAUCGAUAGUCUAGUGUGGUGUUAAGAGGACCAAAGUGGGUCUCAUAGCCCUUGACAUAGAAUCUAGCUCUGAUAAGCUUCCUACAAUUUCAUUACAGUUUAACUAUUACUUUUGAGACAUAAGUUGUAUCUUUUCAAAAUUAAAAAAAAAAAAAAAUACUAAGCACUUCAAUACCAAUUUAUAAAAUCGGUUAAAUUAUUACUUUUGAGACAUGGGUUGUAUCUUUCAAAAUUAAAAAGAAAAAUGUAAGCACUUCAAUACCUAUAAAAUUGUUUUAUCAUAUGUGUUGUACAUCGCAAGUCGUCAGUUAAUUAAGUUAGCUAUAUCCAUCUCCUAACAAUAAUUUGCCACAUCAUUUAUUAUAUUGGUCUUACUGAGAUGUAUUGAUGAAAUCAAUCACAACAUAAACUCUCUCUCUCUCUCUUCAUCGCAUAUAAAAUCCUUGAAAAGACUGGCCAUUAUUAUUAUUCAUAAUGCAAAGGAAACUCGCCAGAUGGAGGGAAAGGUCACAGGAUGGCAAUCGCAAAGGACCAAAAUCUAUAAUUUACUCCAUUUUGUCACAUUGUUUGUUGCAUGUUUCCAACUAGACAAACCGAAGUUAUAGCCAACAUAAUGUCCGAAGCCCUAUCCCCACCAAUCCGACGAAGAAUUUUGCAAGACGACAGGGUGGGUAGCCUGUAGGGCAUGGUGAAAGCCUUGUACAGGCAUGGCGUUUUCGAUAAAGUUAAGAAAUUGACAGUAGAAUAUCGGGAAAAAAAAGAAAUAAUUAAGAUUUGGGGGCUAGAAGAUAGGAGGUCAAACAAUAAAAUCUGGGAUUCCAGCACGACGUUAAGUGUUCUAGUUUUACGCCAUGCUCUAAAAAAUCCUCACGUGAUAGUUUUAUAAAGAUAAUUAGGUUGUGUUUUUUCAAAACUUGAAAUCAGAUCUUGGGUUGGCUAAAAUUCUGCCAGAAAUGAUAAAGAAUAUCACCUAACUUUCUCUAAAUUGGGCUACAAUUUUUUAAAGUUCUAGUCAACUAGACUAAACUUAUCAAUAUCAAUAUCCCAUGUACUAUUUUAGGAAUAAAAAUUGAUUGUGAAUGGAUUCGUGUAUGGUACAGUUUGUAUACUACUCAUCUUCAUGUUUAGUAUAUAUCGCAAUUAAUUGGGUACUUCUAAUUUUAAUUGUCGAUGGACUAUCCAAAUCAAUGGUGAUGGAUGAGAGUUUUGUUAAAAAAAUAAAUAAAUAAAAUAGCAUAUGUAUUAACUUUUUAUUCCUUUCCAAAUUAAUGGACUGCUUUAGAAUUUACCAUGUUUGGUCUCACCACUUCAAAAUCUCAUCCUAAUUAUAGCGUUUGAAAUUCAAACCAACAUAUCUAACAAAUACGUCAACCAUAUAUAGCACAUGCAAUUUUACAGUUCAAACAAGAUCGAUAACAAUUAUGAGAGGGGAGAAAUGGGUAAGAGAAUUUUCCAUCCAAGAUUUGAUAAUUGGUCUAUUCUUAAUCUAAGUAAAGUUCAUCUUGUCGUGAUAGAAAUAAACUAAAACAAAUAAGUUUUAGCUAAUUGACGCGAAAGGACAUUGGCUAAGUCACGAGAUAAAAGUUAUGCCUGACAUAGCUAUGAGUUCAAACAACGUGAAAAGUCCAAUAAUAGAAAACAAUGACAUUGACUAAGUACCUGUUGCAAUGGGACGCAUCAAACUCUUGUCCAGUUUGGCAGAUUCCUCUCCAUGAUUUUGGAAUGGGCCUCAUUCCUUUAUCGCUAAAGCUCUUCGAUUCUGGCCACACCCCUGAUGACCCCAAAAUAGAAGCAAUGAAAAAACCAAUCAAUCACCCUCCAAUGCAUGAAAUCAUGUCGUCCAUCGAUGAGCAGCACUCCAAGAAAAAGCACAGUAAAACCCUAAUUGAAUCUCCCACGAAACUACAUAGAUGAUAAGACCUAGAAUCACGUGAGAAACAGUAGCGGAGAGAAUCUAACCCAUCAAGAUAAGGACGCAAAAUCAAAUUUACAUUUUGUAGACACUUACCGCUAUCCAGAACCCCAACAAUGACUCCCCUUCCAUGUUUGGCCUUCUGCAAGAGGCCUCCUCUUAUCUUAUGAGGGUUCCAUGAUCCUUUCACUCCUUCCAAACCCAAGAAUUCCCAUGACCUCGUCGUGUGCAUAGAGUACUUCCUCGGGUCGCUCCGAAUCACCGAUACCACUUCAUCGAGCUCUGCCCCACCACAAAUUGCCAUCACGCAGGAAGUUUAAUUACUCGAACUUCGACAGAGUGAGAGAGAGGGAAAAAAAAAACAAAUCUUUGUCAUUGGAGCACCUACCCGAUAGCCUGGAGGCCUCAUCAGGAGUAAGAACAGCGGCGUAGCCAUUGAAGCUGUUCUUGUAGCUGUAAAGAAGAGAAGAUCUUGCUUCUUCGACAUCAAUGGCUUUGAUUGAUGAUAGGUGAGAGAGAUGGUGGUCUUCUAUUUCUCGCUUUGUUUUGCCUCCAUCGUGCUCUCCGAGAUUCACUAUGUAAACCUGACACAUGCAAUACAACCAUUGAGAAUAACCCAAAAAAAAAUAAAAAAUCGCGAGCGAUGGAAUCGGAAAAAAAUCCAAUCUUGGCCAGGAAACAAGUCGGACGUACCUGGCGUUCUGAGCAGAGGGCGAGAAUGGGGAGGUAAAUAACGAACAAAAGACAUAAAAAGUUGUGGUACUUCAUUGUUUAUUCACUAAAUUUCUUUUCUUCCCAGUAGGUAACGAUGUGAGAAGGACGAUGACUGGGUAUUUAUAACUAUAGGAGUCGUCUACGAGGGAGCGGAAAGUGAUUCCGAAAUGGCCGUAGUUGUUGACGCCUCAAUUUUAUUUAAGUUUAUUUUAUCUUAUUAAUUAAGUUUUUAUUUUAUUUAUCUUGUCUAUUUUCGGAAUAAUAAACAAAUAAAAACAAACAAAAAACAAAAGCAAAACAAAAACAAAAAGAAAACAGAAGCAGCAGCCAAGGCCCAGCCCCCUCCCCUUUCACACAGCCCUUAGGCCCACUCUCCUCUUCUUCACCCCUCGGCCCGGCCCCUUUCUCUCUUCUUCUUCUUCCUUCCCUCUCCUUCGCCGCUACAACUCACUCGCGCGAGGGAAGCCGACGCGCGAAGGACGGCCUACGGCUGAGGAGAGUAGGCCGACGUCGGCCGGAGGGGAUAAGACCUCAGGCGCCAUUAAUGCUGAGCAAGCUUCACUGGAAAGCUCGAUGGGACACCGGUUCAGCCAAGCGGAACCGGUGGGCAAGCCGGAGGCCGGCAACCGAGCCCCUCCGUUGACCGGAUUUCCUCCGCCUAUAAAUAGGUGGCCGCAAGCAUCGUCGGAGGGCGUGGCGAGCUCAGAGAUCUUUCACUGAGAGACAUCGGGAAAGAUCGAAGGGCGAGCCUAGGAGAGAACUCGAGUUGCAAGCUCAGCCCGCCCUCCACCGAGAGACUUCGGGGAAGGCCGGCGGCGAGCAACUUCGAGAAGGUCAGAUUCGGCCGGUGGAGGCUCGGAUCUGGCCUAAGUGAGAGAGAAUCGAGGCCGAGGAAGGUCCGACCGAGAUCUGCACCUCAGAUCUGAAGUUUUUUGCUGCUGUUGUUGCCGCCGGACAUUGUGCCGCCGCCGUUCGUCCCGACCAAGUCCCGACGUCGUUGCCUCGAAGGCUUGUUGUCGUGCCACCCCCGUGAAGCUGUUGCCGUGAUCGAUCCACCGACGCCGCGCCAGAUCAGGAAGCUAAGUUGCCGCCAUUGUUGCCGUCGUCGUCCCCGUUCGAGAGAAGGCAAAAAAAAGCAUCGUCAUUACCAUUGCCGUUCAUCGUAGUCGUUUUCCGUUGACCUAGCUGUUGUCGCCAUCGCCGUUGUCGCCUUCGUCAUCGCCGCCGUAGUCGCCGUCGCCGCCAAACACCUCAGUUCCCCCCCCCCCUUGGCGCCGCAGAUUCGCAAACCCUAGGGUUUGCGAUUUUCCGGGUCAUCGAGUCGGAUUUGGGUAGGGUUUCGCGAGAUCUGGGGGUGGCGGAAGUCGGGUCGCGAGCCGGAGCCGGGUCGGGUAGGGUUUCCGCUGGGAGCCGGGUCAUGGAGCGGGUCGUCGGGCCGGGCCGGGUAUCCCCGAACGCUCGGCCACGACGCCGUUUCGAUUAAAAAAAGAAGAAAAAAGACAAAAAAAUCUUAGUCGAGUCCGCAACGCGAGGGCACGCCUCACCCAGGCCGCCUGCUAAGUUGGCAAGAGUUGAGCCUCACCGUUCAUGGGUGAGGUUGGGCCCUUGGGUGAGGCACACCCUCGCCUUUGGCCAGUCUCUGAUCCAAGGACCGGCUAAAGGAAGGAAAGGAAAAGGAAAAAUAAAAGAAAAAAAAUAAUUAAAAAAAAUUAAAAUAUUAUAAAAUUUUGUCCACUUCAGUGCUAAUAGAAUCACAUAGGACUUGAAUUGGUUGGAUGACUUAAAUUGAUACAAAUGCAAAUUGUUUAGGACCUAUAUGUCAAAAAAAAAGAAGGUUUAGGACAGUAUAAUAAUAAUAGGUUUACGACUUUUUUUGUAAUUUUUCCUGGUUAUCGAGUUUUGCACGUCUUAUAUUCGAUAAUAAUGUGAUUGGACGCUUGAUAUUGAACUACUAUAAUCUAACAAUAAUUUGUAAUGAGUGGUCUGUUAGAAUAUGCUUUAAAAAAGGCCAUAGUCUCCUCUCCACAUCUUAUUCAAGAAUAGUAUGGCUUAUCCAUCAAUGCCAUCUAAAGGAGAAGGAGAAGAAGACCUAAGUCCCGGUUAUCAUAUGGUUCCGUUCGUGCAUACAUACAAUGUAAUCGAGGUGAUCAGAAUCAAUCAUAUUUAUUUGCAUCGAAUUCUAAAAACCUAUAUCAUAUCAUGCCAAAAGGGACAAGUUAAUCUUUCUUUAUUCAAGGCAGAUAAUUUUCUCCAAACCACUCGAAUUGUGGAAUGCUUUCCUAGUUUUUCUUAUCUCUACAUUUCUAAUUUCUCCAUUAGAUAAAAUGAGAGAUCAAUUGCAAGCAUUAAAAAAAGAAAUUGGGCAAAGCCUAUGCCAAAGAUAUUGCCAUGGGACUAUUCACGUUGUGAAUACCAUCGUUCCAUCCGUACCAUCCAAAGGCAUAGUCAUCUCCAAGAAUCCUCUUCACCAUGCUAUUUCUCGCUUUGACGGUAAUGGUGAAGCUUCUCUUUUGGCCGAUGCGAUCGAACACCAGCAAACUCGGUCGGAUUGUCACCAAGAACCCUGUCGGUGGUUUGACAUGUGAGAAAUAACAACUGUUGUGUUUUCCGCCUACAUUUGUGACGGUUCUCUUCACUGUGAUCGUCCCGUUGAGUCUACUGAUUUGGAGAGUCGGAUAAUUUAGGUUCCUCGAGACGAUCCGCUCUUUUGGGCACUGGAAGCUUGGGUCCUUGAUCCCGAAGCUACAAAGAUAUGCAGCGUAGUCUGAGUACGAUGCGUCGUACACAAGGCCGGGGUCGGCCACUCUCUGCGGCAUCAGGUGGCCGGCUCCCAAUGCGAAGGGAGUGGCGAGAGUGCCUGCUGCAUCGGUUAUGGG